AUAUCAGUAAGCGGAGGAAAAGAAACCAACAGGGAUUCCCAUAGUAACUGCGAGUGAAGUGGGAGAAGCCCAGCGCCAAGGUUCUCGGCCCUGUGGUCGACGAACGAUGCGGCGUUUGGCACGUACAUUGUGCGUCGGACGGAGUGACAAAGUUCCCUUGACUGGGCUCGUGCCCCGAAGCGGUG
RNAcentral lists this ribosomal RNA (185 nucleotides) under uncultured eukaryote. Its description in RNAcentral is "partial large subunit ribosomal RNA". It matches the Rfam family "Eukaryotic large subunit ribosomal RNA", at positions 40 to 214 of the family's 3401-position model. The record is from RNAcentral.